Molecule: long non-coding RNA, 1987 nt
Organism: Hirundo rustica (Barn swallow)
Lineage: Eukaryota; Metazoa; Chordata; Aves; Passeriformes; Hirundinidae
Exons: 2
Source: RefSeq, a predicted model, not a curated record
CUCGGCAUCCAGUGGCAUCCUCUGAGCCAGGGCCCGAGAAUGAGACAGAGCCAGGGGAAUUUGGCCCAGUAGGAGCAGGAGCGUCAAGGCCGAUGUGAAAAAAUGUGGCGAUUUACAGCUGGGGAAGGGACUGCUCUAGCCGAGACUCUCCCAGCCUCUUUAGGGCAAUUGGCACUGUCCCGCGUAGGGGCUUGGGCUUUCCGACUUGCCCGACUCCAGGUACCACCUCUGGCGUGUUUCUCCAUCCCAGCUGUGUCGUUUCUCCAGCAGGCACCGAGGUGGUUGGUGUCCAAGCAAGAAGACUGGGGCUGGCGACCGUGAGGCCUGAUCAUCCCGUUCCUCCUGCCGAGGCGGCCUGGGGCAGACGCUCACGGCAGGGUCACUCUGCUGACUGCAAGAGAAGAGAAAUUUGCAUACCUAAAGGAGGCUGAGGACAUCUUACACCAAAGAAGGACAAUGCGCUGAAGCUGCUUCCAAAGAAUGGCUCCUGGCGCAGGCUUACCUUUGGAUCAUGCAAGGCAGUUGUCUGGGAGAUGAAUUGUCAUGGUCCAAAACUGUGCUACUGUGCACUGCUGUGCUACUGGUCUUACAGAACAGCUGGGUACACAUCCCCUCCUCUGCACUUCUAGGAGAGAUGCAGCCAUAGUGAACACGGUUUUGAAGUGGAUGAACCUGGGCUGCAUCAUUUUGACUGUCAGCAGGACUCGUUAUUCCAGUGUUGGAGCUGGAUCACAUGGCUUUCUGUCAGUUCAGAACAAGCUCAACUGUGCUUGAAAAAUAACAUGCAAAUUCAUCAUAACCCAAAGCAUUAUAUAAUCAGAUCCUCAUGCUAUAGGAAACAGCAUGUUCCAGAAGUCCCUGGGAGUCUGUACAUAGGAAACAACACGUUCCAGAACUGCCUGUGAGUUUGUGCAGGGCUGGAACAAAAGUGCAAUUGUUUGUAAUCCACAGAAUUUUACCCAAUGUACAGUUAUGCAUCUGGGCAAACCGAAUCGAGAGGCUGCUGCUGAUCCAAAUCUCUCUGAUGUCCGCAUGAGUGUUUCUACAGACGAAGUCGUGAACUGUAUCCCAAGUUAUUGGUACUUCCUGCCACUAUCAUGGACAUGCCUGUGUGAUUGCAAUGUUUGAUCAGAUGCUGUACUGGGUUUGUGUGGCCAGACUUUGGUAGUGGGGGGCUACAGGGGUGGCUUCUGUGAGAAGCGGCCAGAAGCUCCCCCCAUGUCCAGUGGAGCCAAUGCCAGGCAGCUCCAGGACAGAUGUGCUGCUGAUUAAGGCUGGACCUAUUAGAAAUGGUGGUAAAGCCUCUGAGAUAACAUACUUAAGAAGAAAUUUUUUUAAAGUUACUGCACAGAUGUAAUUGCAGCCAGAGAAGGGCAGGGUGAGUACACGUGAGAGGGACAGCCCUGCAGAUCCCAGGUCAGUGCAGAAGGGCGGGCAGGAGGUGCUCCAGGCAUCGCAGCUGAGAUUCCCCUGCGGCCCCUGGUGCAGACUGUGGUGGAGCAGCUGUGACCCUGCAGCCCAUGGGCAUCCACAGGGGUGCAGAGAUCCACCUGGGGCCCUUGGAAGAGCCCACACUGGAGCAGGUGGAUGUCUGAGAGGAGGCUGUGACCCCAAGGGAGGCCCCUGGGGAGAGGAGCCGUGCUGGAGCAGCCUGUACUUGGAGGGCUGCACCCCAAGGAAGAGUGACCCAGACUGCAGCAGUUUGAGGGGGACUGGUGCUCACGAGAUGGAAUCACACUGGAGAAGUUCAUGGAGAACUGUCUCCCUUGGGAGAGACCCCAUGGUGCAGAAGGGGAAUAAGUCCUCUCCCUGAGCAGCAGAACUGACCAUGACCCCAGUUCCCCGGUCUCUCUGAGGCACUGUGGGAGGAAGCAGAGCUGGGAGGAAAGGAGGGCUGGUGGGAAGGUGGUUCGAAGGUUUAUUUUACUACUCAUUAUCCUGCUCUGAUUUUGUUAACAAUAAAAUCAAUUAGUAUCUCUAAUUUAAA